Bison bison bison is the source of this 119-nucleotide ribosomal RNA. The record is from Ensembl. Lineage: Eukaryota; Metazoa; Chordata; Mammalia; Artiodactyla; Bovidae.
GUCUAAGGCCAUACCUCCCUGAACGUGUGCAGUCUCACCGGAUCUCAGAAGCUAAGCAGGAUCGGCCCAGGUUAGUACUUGGAUGGGAGACCGCCUGCAAAUACCAGGUGCUGUAGGGA